UUUCCGUAGGUGAACCUGCGGAAGGAUCAUUAUUGAAUGAAACACUUCUGGCUUUAUGCUGUUGUGCUGGCCCCUUUGGGCAAUGUGCACACGGCUCUGGUCACUUGUUUCUUCUGUUCCACCUGUGCACUGCCUGUAGACACGCUGUGUCUAUGAUAUUUGUUAACACACAACAAUGUUAGUUGGCAUGUUAUAUAUAAUAAUAAAAUAUACAACUUUCAACAACGGAUCUCUUGGCUCUC
RNAcentral lists this unclassified non-coding RNA (242 nucleotides) under plant metagenome. RNAcentral's name for it is "partial contains small subunit ribosomal RNA, internal transcribed spacer 1, and 5.8S ribosomal RNA". The record is from RNAcentral.